RNAcentral lists this unclassified non-coding RNA (361 nucleotides) under Hevea brasiliensis (rubber tree). The record is from RNAcentral. Lineage: Eukaryota; Viridiplantae; Streptophyta; Magnoliopsida; Malpighiales; Euphorbiaceae.
GCAUGAAUUUGAUAGUGUGCGGAAAAGAAUGUCCGUUGUCAUCAGAUUUCCUAACAAUGAUGUGAAGGUUUUGGUGAAAGGCGCUGAUACUUCCAUGUUCAGUAUUUUAGCCAAAGACAAUGAGAGGGAUAAUCAUGUAAGGCAUGCAACACAAUGCCAUUUGACUGAAUAUUCAUCGCAAGGUCUACGUACACUUGUUAUUGCUGCAAGAGAUCUUACAGAGGCUGAACUUGGGCUGUGGCAAUGCAAGUUUGAUGAUGCAAGCACUUCUUUGACGGACAGAGCCACAAAACUACGUCAAACAGCAGCCCUUAUAGAAUGUGAUUUAAAUCUACUUGGGGCUACUGGAAUUGAAGACAAG